Molecule: ribosomal RNA, 301 nt
Filed under: uncultured bacterium
Lineage: Bacteria
Description: partial 16S ribosomal RNA
Rfam family: Bacterial small subunit ribosomal RNA
Source: RNAcentral
CAGCAGCCGCGGGAAUACGGAGGGCGCGAGCGUUACCCGGAUUUACUGGGCGUAAAGGGCGUGUAGGCGGCCUGGGGCGUCCCAUGUGAAAGGCCACGGCUCAACCGUGGAGGAGCGUGGGAUACGCUCAGGCUAGAGGGUGGGAGAGGGUGGUGGAAUUCCCGGAGUAGCGGUGAAAUGCGCAGAUACCGGGAGGAACGCCGAUGGCGAAGGCAGCCACCUGGUCCACUUCUGACGCUGAGGCGCGAAAGCGUGGGGAGCAAACCGGAUUAGAUACCCCUGUAGUCCCUGUCUCUUAUAC